This 77-nucleotide transfer RNA is filed under the name Salmonella enterica. Its description in RNAcentral is "tRNA-Val". It matches the Rfam family "tRNA". From Rfam's summary of the family: Transfer RNA (tRNA) molecules are approximately 80 nucleotides in length. Their secondary structure includes four short double-helical elements and three loops (D, anti-codon, and T loops). The record is from RNAcentral. Lineage: Bacteria; Pseudomonadati; Pseudomonadota; Gammaproteobacteria; Enterobacterales; Enterobacteriaceae. RNAcentral also lists the same sequence under 1 other name.
GCGUUCAUAGCUCAGUUGGUUAGAGCACCACCUUGACAUGGUGGGGGUCGUUGGUUCGAGUCCAAUUGAACGCAGCA